This 442-nucleotide ribosomal RNA is filed under the name uncultured bacterium. RNAcentral's name for it is "partial 16S ribosomal RNA". It matches the Rfam family "Bacterial small subunit ribosomal RNA", at positions 338 to 795 of the family's 1533-position model. The record is from RNAcentral.
CCUACGGGAGGCAGCAGUGGGGAAUUUUGGGCAAUGGACGCAAGUCUGACCCAGCAACGCCGCGUGAAGGAAGAAGGCUUUCGGGUUGUAAACUUCUUUUAAGGGGGAAGAGGAGAAGACGGUACCCCUUGAAUAAGCCACGGCUAACUACAUGCCAGCAGCCGCGGUAAUACGUAGGUGGCAAGCGUUGUCCGGAUUUACUGGGUGUAAAUGGCGUGCAGCCGGGCCGACAAGUCAGAUGUGAAAUCCGCGGGCUUAACCCGCGAACUGCAUUUGAAACUAUAGGUCUUGAGUUCCGGAGAGGUAAGCGGAAUUCCUUGUGUAGCGGUGAAAUGCGUAGAUAUAAGGAAGAACACCAGUGGCGAAGGCGGAUUACUGGACGGUAACUGACGGUGAGGCGCGAAAGCGUGGGGAGCAAACAGGAUUAGAUACCCCUGUAGUC